RNAcentral lists this ribosomal RNA (501 nucleotides) under uncultured bacterium. RNAcentral's name for it is "partial 16S ribosomal RNA". It matches the Rfam family "Bacterial small subunit ribosomal RNA", at positions 29 to 523 of the family's 1533-position model. The record is from RNAcentral.
AUUGAACGCUGGCGGCAUGCUUUACACAUGCAAGUCGAACGGCAGCACGGGAGCGAUCCUGGUGGCGAGUGGCGAACGGGUGAGUAAUGUAUCGGAACAUGCCCAGUCGUGGGGGAUAACGCAGCGAAAGUUGUGCUAAUACCGCAUACGAUCGAUGGAUUAAAGCGGGGGAUCGGCAGACCCCGGGCGGUUGGAGUGGCAGAUAACAGAUUAGGUAGUGGGGGGGGUAAAGGCCCACCAAGCGGACGAUCUGUAGCUGGUCUGAGAGGACGGCCAGCCACACUGGGACUGAGACACGGCCCAGACUCCUACGGGAGGCAGCAGUGGGGAAUUUUGGACAAUGGGCGCAAGCCUGAUCCAGCAAUGCCGCGUGCAGGAUGAAGGCCUUCGGGUUGUAAACUGCUUUUGUAUGGAACGAAAAGACUCUCUCUAAUAAAGGGGGGUUGAUGACGGUACCUUGAGAAUAAGCACCGGCUAACUACGUGCCAGCCGCCGCCGUAA